Molecule: long non-coding RNA, 598 nt
Organism: Daphnia pulicaria
Lineage: Eukaryota; Metazoa; Arthropoda; Branchiopoda; Diplostraca; Daphniidae
Exons: 3
Source: RefSeq, a predicted model, not a curated record
AGCACGAGGUCUGUUUCAUUUUGCUAUUCAAUGUGCUUAUGCUUGUUAUUUUGUGAUGAAUCCAAUUAAAGCUGCAGACACUGUAUCACGCAACAGCUUUUACUAAUUGGAUUAUUGUGAUGAUCCAGCAACGGGUUACCCGUGACUGUGACAGGAUGUUGUAAACAAUUCACGUAAUAUCUUAAAAACUAAAAACAGCAUUACCGCGAAUGAAACAAGACAUUGAUCUGUGUAAGUGCUCAAUAAUGAGAUUAACUUAUUUCUUUGAAAAAUAUUAAGUGUCGUACGAGAUUCCCAAACUUUUGCUGGAUGAUGUUGACGCUGACGAGAGUUGUUUUUUUCUUAGUUCUACCCCAAAAAAACAUGCUUCAUUCCAGGCAGCUCAAGUAGAUGAGGAUGCUUCUCUGAACUGAAACGGUUUCACCUGUCGCCAAGGAAAACGAAGAAUAGAAAUGGGUAUAUGGCGGUAUACUUUGACAGGGUAUGCAGGUAAAGGAGCCAAAAAAUUGGCAGCAUAUGGAUAGUUCACCAUAGCAAGAUUUGUCCACACAUUUGUAAGCCAGUCCUUCAAAUUAACUACAUCAUCAGUCCCAUUUAA